AAAAAAGAUGAACGGUGUUGUAGCAAGGGAUUACUGUAUGUGACAAUAAAAAGACAGUCAAAAAGAAAUACAAUAUUAAUGAUUAAAAAACAUACAACCUGACAAAGAGGAAACAAUACAGUAUAACAAAUGCAUGUAAAUAGUAAAUAGUCAUUAUAAUAAUUUGUACAAGUGUAUUUAUUAUGUUUGUGAGGAGGAUUAUGGCAAUAUGAUGAUGGUUUAAAAAAAUCAAUUAUAAUAAUUAGGAGGAUAAGAGAAAAUUACCAACACAAUGUCAUAGGGGUACCAAGGAUAUCUUUGAUAGUGGCAUUAACUCUUUCGGGGACAGUGGUUACUAGAGUGGACAGCUAUUCACAUGUUUUCCCUUAUAUUAAUUGUGUGAUUGUAGUUGAGGCAGUGGAUUAUGUUUAUUAUUAUUAUUAUUGUUCGCAACAACUGCAGCUGUAACAAAACACUUUAUAAAACGGUUAACAUAAAAUAACAAAAUAAUCUAACACAACACAAAACAAAAAACACGGACAGUCAUGCAAUCUUAAUCACGUUUACUACAUACGCUUUGUUGUUUGAAGCAGUUCUAACACCAGUGAAAGAGAGACUCCGUGCUCAAAAUGUACACACGUCUGCUACAAGCCAAGUUAGAAAGUAAACAAUAAGUUGUAGCGUCCAUCAACUAAAAAAGAGAUUGGUUAACUUCCCCCGUCCCAUGUAAAUCCGUUUCAAUUCCAAGCGCCCGCGCCGAUGCUCCUCUCUCCUCAUGCUCAGCUCCACAAGCCAAUCAUCCAACUGCACCAGCGCAGACUGUCCAACAGCACCAACAUGUGAAAAAUGUUGGCCGUUACAGGCGCAAAAACACAAGCGCCCCGGGAUGUCCAGCGGCAACAGUCAAAUAGCGCCAACAUUCCUUCCAAUCAAAAUCAGUGCUGUGUGUUGCCGAGAAAGCGCAACCACCACAUACAGAUUCUUCUCCUUUGGCAAAUGUCGUAGCCAAAAAUGCUUAAAACAGUCGACUUCGGGUCCACACAAAUAACAACAAACACCAUGUGACAAAAAAAAUCGGAAUCAUCUUUAGCUCUCGAAGAGCACUUGCUGACGGCUGAUGGCUGCCAACUGCAGCACUGUUUUGGAUGCUACCUGUUGACAAUAGGCAGCCAGAACCAAAUAGAGUCACUGCCUGGCACACAGUUCUCUUCCAGGCUCAGCCAAUCAGAUGUUGAGGUUGUAGAAUAGUCAGAAAAUUCCCAAUUAGAUGUUGCAAUGCCAAAUUUUUCCUGGUUGUUUCAGUCACAUAUCUUCAACCCCUAUACCAAGUUAAUAGCUAAACAUACUGACCUGAAGGACAUAGUAUGGUUAUUAUUACUUUAUACUGACAUGGGUUGGAGUUGUUUGCUUAUGCUUAGAGGCCAGUCGAAGGCCGUUAUUCUUAAAAGAAAAAUGGCCUGCAAGUGCCAGCGAGUAGGAGGCAAAAUAUUUUUAACUUUGCAACUGUUGGACACGGGGCAGUGUUUUAACUAAUUAACCCUUUCAUGCACAAAAAAUAACCGAUAAGGAUUUUUUUUCCCUCAAGUGUUUUUAUUCAUCUCUAGGCAUGAAAAAAAUGGCAGUGGAUGGCAACACACAUAAGGGUCCAUUGUAGUGGUUGAUUCACAACUGUGACAUUAAGAUGAAUUAAUAUAUGAGAAAACGUUUGCAAGCGGCAAAGAGGGAGGAGCAGGGUGAACUUGACGAGUUGUAUUAAAACACAGAAAAUAAAUCCAGAACAAACAGUCAUGAAAACAAAAAGAUUCCAAAGCAACAAACCAAAACCAUGGCUGUGGCAAAAAAAACUAACAGGAACAAAAACAUGACAGCGGCAAGCAACAAGCAAAAAAACAAACAAACAAACAAACAAACAUGACAGUAGCCAACAGCAACAAUGACCCGACAAUAAGUGUUUAGGCGGGAGUCCUUUUAAAUGGCUAACGACAUAACGACCGACAGGUGUGCAGCUGCAGGGGGAGCCCUACAGUGUCACCUGUUGGUCACAAACCGAAACAUGACAAAAACAACAUCAGCUAAAAUCCUGAUAUUUAGUUCGCUCAGUAGUAACAGUGUGACUGUCGUGAUAGUAUGUCGUGUGAUUUAAAAAAAAAGUUUUAAUCCAUGCUAUGUCAAAACAGAAAGUGGUCAGACGAAUACGUAUGUACAACAUGGAUUCACAUGCAUCAUGGGCUGCGAUGGGACUCUUUUCUACAUGAUUUGUCAUGCCAAGUUGAGGGUAAGGGUUCAGUCAUGUGCAUAUGAACUGGUUGGGUUCGGUACCUCAAACAAUAUUAAGAACCAAAUUGCAAAUUUCGUUCCAAUAAGUAGACUAGAUUUCAGACUUGCAAAAAGCAGGUUUAUAACUUGAACCAUAAGUGGUGUAAUGCUAUUUUAGUGUAUUUUAUCAAGGCGCAGGCAGGCAGAUCAGGAUGUGCGUAGUGGAAGUCCAUCCAUCCAUGCAUUUACUAAUCUGCUGAUCCUCACGAGGGUCGCGGGUGCGCUGCAGCCUAUCCCUUCUGUCUUCGAGCAGUAGGCGGGGUAGACCCUGAACUGGUAGCCAGCCGAUCGCAGGGCACACCUAGACGAACAAACAUUCACAUUCACAGUGGGGGACAAUUUUAGAGCAGGGGUGUCAAACAUUUUCACCAAGGGCCACAUCAGCAAAAUGGCUUUCUUCAAAGGGCCAGAUGUAACUUAUAAUUGUAACUUAAAAUAAUUGAAUGAAACGUAAAAUACAUGUAACUUGUAAGUGUGUAAAUGUAAGACCUCUGCCCUAGAUCCUCCAGGCAAAGAGCACUACCCUGGCCAGUGCCAGCUUUGACAAGCUGGUCUUCCUCAAGAGGAACACGUCCCUAUUGGGGUACCCCACCUAUAAAGAGCAUUUUGACGCAUAAAUGCUUUCAAUAAUGUUUAUGAAUGAAGGGGACGAAUAAAGGUUAUCUUAUCUUGAAUUAUGAAACUUCUACCGUGAGCGGAUCCGCAAAAUAGGGUAAAGUACCCAUCUCUGGUGAUCAAUUAUGCGGUUAUGUAGAGAGGUGGGAGGGAAUUGUGAACAGUUCUAAAUCUCAAUUAGCGUAUUUUCCACACUAAAAGGCGCACCUAAAAACCUGCCAUUUUCUUAAAAGCUCAAAGUGCACCUUACAAUCCGAGGUGUCUUGUGUAUGGUCAUUAUGGGGAUAUUUCGACCCCAAAAUGGCUCCUUGCUCGAGACAUGCUGACAAUGCAGUCCAAAUACAAGUCAAAUACAGUUCAAACUUAAGGCGAUCGGUAACGCAGUUGAACAUGGAAAUAGAGCAGCGGCAAGAGAGUUCAAUGUUAACGAGUCAAUGUUAUAACUUGCUGUUGGUUCAGUGAACUGUGUCGCUGCUUUAUUAAAUACAUUUUACUGACAUCUGAUUGGAGCGGCUCAGUAGUCCAGUGGUUAGCACGUCGGCUUCACAGUGCAGAGGGUUCGAUUCCAGCUCCGGCCUCCCUGUGUGGAGUUUGUUCUCCCCAUGUCUGCAUGGGUUUUCUCCGGGUGGUCCGGUUUCCUCCCACAUUCCAAAAACAUGCAUGGCUGAUCGGACGCUCUAAAUUGUCCCUAGGUGUGAGUGUGGGCGUGGAUGGUUCUUCGUCUCUGUGUGCCCUGCGAUUGGCUGGCAACUGAUUCAGGGUGUCCCCCGCCUACUGCCCGAAGACGGCCGGGAUGGGCUCCAGCACCCCCCGCGACCCUAGUGAGGAUCAAGCGUUUCGGAAAAUGGAUGGAUGGAUGGAUGGAUGGAUGAUAUCUGAUUGUUCUGUUGGUGUUUCCUUGAGUGUAGCUCUAUCUAGUGGAUGCAUUGUAUAUUGCGUAUUAUAAUGCUGUGCGCCCAAUGUAUGAAAAAAAUUACAAAAUAGGCCAUUCAUUGAAGGUGCGCCUCAUAAUCCAGUGCGACUUUUAGUGUGGAAAAUACGGUUGGGUAAAUUUUUUUUU
Hippocampus zosterae (dwarf seahorse) is the source of this 3970-nucleotide long non-coding RNA. RefSeq lists it as uncharacterized. The record is from RefSeq and is a predicted model, not a curated record. The transcript has 2 exons. NCBI's taxonomy places the organism in Eukaryota, Metazoa, Chordata, Actinopteri, Syngnathiformes, Syngnathidae.